UCACGUCUUGCGACGGCAGUUUCACUAGAGUUCCCAGCAUUACCUGAUGGCAACUAGUGAUGGGGGUUGCGCUCGUUGCGGGACUUAACCCAACACCUCACGGCACGAGCUGACGACAGCCAUGCAGCACCUGUGUUCCAAUUCCCUUUCGGGCACACCCACCUCUCAGCGGGCUCUCGGACAUGUCAAGGGUAGGUAAGGUUGUUCGCGUUGCAUCGAAUUAAUCCACAUCAUCCACCGCUUGUGCGGGUCCCCGUCAAUUCCUUUGAGUUUUAGUCUUGCGACCGUACUCCCCAGGCGGGGCACUUAAUGCGUUAGCUGCGCCACCAACGAGCAAGCCCGCUGACAGCUAGCACCCAUAGUUUACGGCGUGGACUAC
Molecule: unclassified non-coding RNA, 379 nt
Filed under: uncultured bacterium
Lineage: Bacteria
Description: contains 16S-23S intergenic spacer region
Source: RNAcentral